UCCAGCAGGCGCAGCGAGCGGCGGUGGCGCGCGCACGAGGCCGCCAGCACCGUGUGCGCCCGCAACUCCCUCAGCGCCCCGAGCACCCCGCAGCGGGUCCAAGUCCGAGGGCAGCACGCGGCCCGGGAAGCGCUGCUCAGCUAGCAGGUCACGGACGCGCGGCUGCAGCAGGCGCGCGCGCAGCACGGCGCACGGAAGGCGCACCAGGUACCAGACGUCCAGCAGCGCAAAGACAGCGAGCCCCAGGGCCAGCAACGCCACCAGCAGCCCCAGCAUAGCGGCGGCGGCGGGCGCGGGGUCCUGCGGAGUCCGUGGCGCCGGUGCCGGUGUCCGCGGCGCU
This is a long non-coding RNA of Homo sapiens (human), 340 nucleotides long. The record is from Ensembl. NCBI's taxonomy places the organism in Eukaryota, Metazoa, Chordata, Mammalia, Primates, Hominidae.